CUGCAGCUUAUUAACCUGACCAGUCUUGCUGCAGUCCAGUUCUGGUGUGCAAGGGCUGCAGACAGUGGCCACGUCUGAAUACCCAUACUAGCGCAGGGCUCGACAUGUUGAAAUAAUA
Salvelinus fontinalis (brook trout) is the source of this 118-nucleotide small nucleolar RNA. RefSeq annotates it as small nucleolar RNA SNORA70. The record is from RefSeq and is a predicted model, not a curated record. The transcript has a single exon. NCBI's taxonomy places the organism in Eukaryota, Metazoa, Chordata, Actinopteri, Salmoniformes, Salmonidae.